AGUGAACGCUGGCGGUAGGCCUAACACAUGCAAGUCGAACGGCAGCACAGUAAGAGCUUGCUCUUACGGGUGGCGAGUGGCGGACGGGUGAGGAAUACAUCGGAAUCUACUUUUUCGUGGGGGAUAACGACGGGAAACUUACGCUAAUACCGCAUACGACCUCCGGGUGAAAGCAGGGGAUCUUCGGACCUUGCGCGAUUGAUUGAGCCGUUGUCGGAUUAGCUAGUUGGCGGGGUAAAGGCCCACCAAGGCGACGAUCCGUAGCUGGUCUGAGAGGAUGAUCAGCCACACUGGGACUGAGACACGGUCCAGACUCCUACGGGAGGCAGAAGUGGGGAAUAUUGGCAAAUGGGCGGAAGCUUGAUCCAGCCAUGCCGCGUGGGUGAAGAAGGCCUUCGGGUUGUAAAGCCCUUUUGUUGGGAAAGAAAAGCAGCAGGUUAAUACCCCGCUGUUCUGACGGUACCCAAAGAAUAAGCACCGGCUAACUUCGUG
Molecule: ribosomal RNA, 492 nt
Filed under: uncultured bacterium
Lineage: Bacteria
Description: partial 16S ribosomal RNA
Rfam family: Bacterial small subunit ribosomal RNA
Source: RNAcentral